Molecule: long non-coding RNA, 868 nt
Organism: Corticium candelabrum
Lineage: Eukaryota; Metazoa; Porifera; Homoscleromorpha; Homosclerophorida; Plakinidae
Exons: 3
Source: RefSeq, a predicted model, not a curated record
AACACACACCUUUCGCCGAUCUCUCGCUGUAUGUACGAAGUCCACGUUUCCGGGUCUGCUUCUGAACCGUAGAUCAUCUUGCCGUUGGCUAGACUUUAGAUGCGUAGGAAGCCAUUUCUUGAGUACGGCUUCUUGAGGGUAAGUAAGAGACUGUUGUUCAAGCUGAAGUCGCCUGAUUCACAGUUUGAACAGAUACACGUGGAGUGGAAAGACAGACCACUCAUUGCCUAGCGAUGGAAGUUUUAUCAGCGUUUUUGAACUGUGGAACUGUGAAACUGUGUAUCUUGUCGAACUAGAGUCAGCAAAAAUUCGUCUAGCCUAUUCAACCUUCAUGGAAGGGGGUGAGCUCAUGAGCGCUUCUAGAUCACUCGAUGUACUUGGCCUGAUUUUUUGUUUGCUAUACAGAGUAAUAGUCUUGGCUGCUGGUUCAAUCCAACUCCACUGUAUCAAGCACAUUUCUCGACACAAAACCUGUGUAAAACUUGAUUUUAUCAUUUAGCAGUGUGUUGAGCGAUUCAGUGCAACUCAGACUUUGCAGAUGCAAGGUCUUACUCGAGAACUCUAAUCUUGCUUUCAAGUUCCACUAUUUCAUUUGCUUGCUGUUCAAUUGUCCGACGUAAACCAUCAGCUUCAGCCUCAGUGACAUUUUCGACAAUCAACAUCUUCACUUCUAUAGGAUCACUAUAGACUCUAGACAUGUUUUGAGCAACUGACCUGAGGAUGAGGUAGAAUAGCCUCUGCUUUAUGAUUUAGACAUUGCAGCUAUGGAAUAGCUAAUGCGCGUGUGUUGUGUUACUUUAGAUAUAACUGUUGCUGGGACUUGUAGGCUAGCAGUGCUAAUUGUAAUAUACAGACUGUAGUGUGUGUA